AGUGAACGCUGGCGGUAGGCCUAACACAUGCAAGUCGAACGGCAGCACAGUAAGAGCUUGCUCUUACGGGUGGCGAGUGGCGGACGGGUGAGGAAUACAUCGGAAUCUACUUUUUCGUGGGGGAUAACGUAGGGAAACUUACGCUAAUACCGCAUACGACCUACGGGUGAAAGCAGGGGAUCUUCGGACCUUGCGCGAUUGAAUGAGCCGAUGUCGGAUUAGCUAGUUGGCGGGGUAAAGGCCCACCAAGGCGACGAUCCGUAGCUGGUCUGAGAGGAUGAUCAGCCAGACUGGAACUGAGACACGGUCCAGACUCCUACGGGAGGCAGCGGUGGGGAAUAUUGGACAAUGGGCGCAAGCCUGAUCCAGCCAUACCGCGGGGGUGAAGAAGGCCUUCGGGUUGUAAAGUCCUUUUGUUGGGAAAGAAAAGCAGCAGGUUAAUACCCCGCUGUUCUGACGGUACCCAAAGAAUAAGCACCGGCUAACUUCGUG
This 492-nucleotide ribosomal RNA is filed under the name uncultured bacterium. Its description in RNAcentral is "partial 16S ribosomal RNA". It matches the Rfam family "Bacterial small subunit ribosomal RNA", at positions 29 to 507 of the family's 1533-position model. The record is from RNAcentral.